RNAcentral lists this ribosomal RNA (274 nucleotides) under uncultured bacterium. Its description in RNAcentral is "partial 16S ribosomal RNA". It matches the Rfam family "Bacterial small subunit ribosomal RNA", at positions 523 to 796 of the family's 1533-position model. The record is from RNAcentral.
AUACAGAGGUGGCAAGCGUUGUUCGGAUUUAUUGGGCGUAAAGGGUCCGCAGGCGGUCCGGAAAGUUGGAUGUGAAAUCCCACGGCUCAACCGUGGAACUGCAUUCAAAACUUUCGGACUAGAGUAUGAGAGGGGCAAAGGGAAUUCCCGGUGUAAGGGUGAAAUCUGCAGAGAUCGGGAGGAACACCAGUCGCGAAGGCGCUUUGCUGGCUCAUUACUGACGCUCAGGGACGAAAGCUAGGGUAGCAAACGGGAUUAGAAACCCCAGUAGUCC